Molecule: long non-coding RNA, 97 nt
Organism: Alosa sapidissima (American shad)
Lineage: Eukaryota; Metazoa; Chordata; Actinopteri; Clupeiformes; Clupeidae
Exons: 3
Source: RefSeq, a predicted model, not a curated record
CAAACCCCCCUUCCUAUAUGUGACAAUUAGUAGGGAGCCCUUAAUACAUGUGGUACCCAGGGGCCCGAAAGUUCAUAAUCCGUCCAUGAUGACAGUG